UGAGGAAUAUUGGUCAAUGGACGAGAGUCUGAACCAGCCAAGUAGCGUGAAGGAUGACAGCCCUAUGGGUUUUAAACUUCUUUUAUAAGGGAAUAAAGUUUAGUACGUGUACUAUUUUGUAUGUACCUUAUGAAUAAGCAUCGGCUAAUUCCGUGCCAGCAGCCGCGGUAAUACGGAAGAUGCGAGCGUUAUCCGGAUUUAUUGGGUUUAAAGGGAGCGUAGGCGGGCGAAUAAGUCAGCGGUCAAAUGUCGGGGCUCAACCUCGGCCUGCCGUUGAUACUGUUUGCCUUGAGUGUGCACAAGGUAGGUGGAAUUUGUGGUGUAGCGGUGAAAUGCUUAGAUAUCACGAAGAACUCCGAUUGCGAAGGCAGCUUACUGGGGCAUUACUGACGCUGAGGCUCGAAAGUGCGGGUAUCAAACAGG
This 423-nucleotide ribosomal RNA is filed under the name uncultured prokaryote. Its description in RNAcentral is "bacterial SSU rRNA". It matches the Rfam family "Bacterial small subunit ribosomal RNA", at positions 355 to 776 of the family's 1533-position model. RNAcentral also lists the same sequence under 1 other name. The record is from RNAcentral.